Molecule: ribosomal RNA, 104 nt
Filed under: uncultured bacterium
Lineage: Bacteria
Description: partial 16S ribosomal RNA
Rfam family: Bacterial small subunit ribosomal RNA
Source: RNAcentral
CCUUGUACACACCGCCCGUCACAUCACGAAAGCCGGUUGUACCGGAAGUCGGUUCGCUAACCGCAAGGAAGCAACUGCCCAUGGUAUGGUCGGUGAUUGGGGUG